This 255-nucleotide ribosomal RNA is filed under the name uncultured bacterium. RNAcentral describes it as "partial 16S ribosomal RNA". It matches the Rfam family "Bacterial small subunit ribosomal RNA", at positions 524 to 777 of the family's 1533-position model. The record is from RNAcentral.
UACAGAGGGUGCGAGCGUUGUCCGGAAUCACUGGGCGUAAAGGGCGCGUAGGUGGUGGCUUAAGCGUGCGGUGAAAGCUCGGAGCUCAACUCCGAGUCGGCCGUGCGAACUGGGCUCACUGGAGCAUAGUAGAGGCAGGUGGAAUUCCGGGUGUAGCGGUGGAAUGCGUAGAGAUCCGGAAGAACACCGGUGGCGAAGGCGGCCUGCUGGGCUAUGGCUGACACUGAGGCGCGAAAGCGUGGGGAGCAAACAGGG